Molecule: non-coding RNA, 514 nt
Organism: Vicugna pacos (alpaca)
Lineage: Eukaryota; Metazoa; Chordata; Mammalia; Artiodactyla; Camelidae
Source: RefSeq, a predicted model, not a curated record
UGUUUAUCUUAAAAUACAGGACACCCAGUUAAAUUUUUAUUUAUCUGGCAACAUGAUAGCAGGAACAUCUGAGAAGCCAAAUAUGUUCAUUUCUGAAGUGGGACUGCAGAGGGGAAAUGUGUGAAGAGUCUAUGGAAAUAGGUACCAGCUCUUUGGCUACACAAGAUCAUGCUGGCCACCGUGUGGACAAUAGACAAUAGCAGGAAAGAAGUGAAAGCCAAAAAGCCAGGUGGAACCAAUGAACCGUUUAGCCCUGAGGAGUUACUGGCACCCAUUUCAUUUGUCUUUCUCCAGGUUUAAAAUUGAGGUGAUGAGAUGGAGUAUUACCUGUGUGCUUCAGAACAUCCACAAGUGACAUGUGAUAGUUGCCUGGGAAACUAAGAUGAAAUUCUACAGGCCUUUUGAAAUGCUUUACAUUUGAGAAUAAAGCUCAGCUGAAGUUUAAGCAGCAUACUGACAGUGAGUAUUGAUCUCUCAUAUUAUCUGUUAGAAUAUUUGAGCCGUAGAUAACAGA